This 484-nucleotide ribosomal RNA is filed under the name uncultured bacterium. RNAcentral describes it as "partial 16S ribosomal RNA". It matches the Rfam family "Bacterial small subunit ribosomal RNA", at positions 30 to 507 of the family's 1533-position model. The record is from RNAcentral.
AUUGAACGCUGGCGGCAGGCCUAACACAUGCAAGUCGAGCGGAUGAAGGGAGCUUGCUCCUGGAUUCAGCGGCGGACGGGUGAGUAAUGCCUAGGAAUCUGCCUGGUAGUGGGGGAUAACGUCCGGAAACGGGCGCUAAUACCGCAUACGUCCUGAGGGAGAAAGUGGGGGAUCUUCGGACCUCACGCUAUCAGAUGAGCCUAGGUCGGAUUAGCUAGUUGGUGGGGUAAAGGCCUACCAAGGCGACGAUCCGUAACUGGUCUGAGAGGAUGAUCAGUCACACUGGAACUGAGACACGGUCCAGACUCCUACGGGAGGCAGCAGUGGGGAAUAUUGGACAAUGGGCGAAAGCCUGAUCCAGCCAUGCCGCGUGUGUGAAGAAGGUCUUCGGAUUGUAAAGCACUUUAAGUUGGGAGGAAGGGCAGUAAGUUAAUACCUUGCUCUUUUGACGUUACCAACAGAAUAAGCACCGGCUAACUUCGUG